Molecule: long non-coding RNA, 1170 nt
Filed under: Homo sapiens (human)
Lineage: Eukaryota; Metazoa; Chordata; Mammalia; Primates; Hominidae
Description: non-protein coding lnc-LYPLAL1-3:4
Source: RNAcentral
AAACAGCAUCAUCAGUGUCUCAAAUUGUCAAAUGACUGGGAGGAAAACCCUUGGCCCAGGAGAGAUCACGGAAGGCUGGUCACAAACCAAGCCAGAUGUUGACUUUCUUAAGACCAGCGAAUAGAGACAGGAGUUUCUUUUAUACUUAGAGAAACCAGAGAGUUUCACGGUAGCGUAACAACACGAGUGGUAAGAGUUGUCUAUCAGAAAUACAAAGCCAGACCCAUUGCUCUCUGAAGAAGCCACACAUUUCCUAGAAGAUCCAGCCUUGGCUACUCUUCCACUUAGUAUCCACAGCUACUAGAUACGCUACCUCACACCUGUAACCCAGAUGUCAUAGGUCUCAGGCUGGGUACUCAGUCUUUGCCUUGCACCUUAAGACUGAACUUUGAUGCAUUGCUGAAAUAAAUUUAACUCCACAAUGAGAAAUAAAAUGUUUAAUCAAAUUUAAUGGGGAAUUAUUGAAGAGAGGUGCAUGUACAUCACAGAGGAGAAGCCUAUCUGGCCACCUCCGUGAUCCCCCCAUUAUCCAUUAAUGUUCUUCUCCUAGUCUCAGCUCCCCACUUCUCUCCUUUCUCCUGGAAAUUCCCAUCUAUGCAGCCUCUGGCCACUCUGGAUCCACUCUGCCUCCUGCCUCUCAGCCACACAGUAUGCCCAUUCUUCUGUGGCAUCAUUUAUCUCCCUCUGGUUUUCUCCACUGUGAAUCCUCACACAUAUCACUUAACUUAGUAAGCAAGUCUCCAUCUGUCUUGAAAAAAAGAAGAAAAUGGAUGAUGGAAUGGAAGAAAGAGAACUAAAGGAGAGCCAUCAAAUCAGACAAAAGCUAUCUGUCUCUUUGGAGAGACAACCUCUGGGCUCAUCCACUGCAUUACAUUCUUAGAGCUUGUAGAAGAGCGGUCAUUAAAUAUUUUCAAGGCUACAGACUCCUUCAAGAAUUGAUAAAAGCUAUAGAACUUCUUUCCACAAAAAUGCAUGUAUUGCACACUGAAUGUCUGCAUGCAGUCCUUGAGGGGAGGACCUCUGAGGCCUAUCUCUGAGUCUGCAGUGUCCAUGAGCCCAUGUCAGGAAUUCCUGCAACACACAUUAUGUGAUUUUAAAAUACUUAAAUGAAAGUUUUUUCCAGUGUCCUCCAGAAGCAAAUUCCAUUAAACAAGCCAAUGUGUAUAAUAU